AUCUCAAAGCAUCAGUAGAUGAUGUACAGAUCUAGAGCAACUAUAGAUGAUCUAGAUAUUCAUCCACUUGUAUAGAUUUUAAAGCAACCAUUGAUGAUCCAAAUAUUCAUUCACUUGCUUCAAUCUUAAAGCAACAAUAAAUAAUCUAGGUGUUCAUAUAUUUGCAUAUAUCUCAAAGCACCCAAGACAAGGAUCAUCCAUCCACCUCACAGAUCUUAGAGCAACUGGUGGACUAUCUAGAUUAUUAAUCUAGUUGCAAAAUCUCAAAGCAAUCACAUUAAUGAUCUAGAUAAUUCAUCCUUCCACAUAAAUCUCAAAGCAGUUAGUAGAUGAUCGGGAUUAUUCAUCCAUCUACAU
RNAcentral lists this long non-coding RNA (357 nucleotides) under Elaeis guineensis (African oil palm). RNAcentral's name for it is "long non-coding RNA (EGUI_LNC013223)". The record is from RNAcentral. Lineage: Eukaryota; Viridiplantae; Streptophyta; Magnoliopsida; Arecales; Arecaceae.